RNAcentral lists this non-coding RNA (756 nucleotides) under Coloceras sp. SLC-2005. Lineage: Eukaryota; Metazoa; Arthropoda; Insecta; Psocodea; Philopteridae. The record is from RNAcentral.
UUUUGUUUUAGGAUACUUACUUGGUGGGUUUAUCUGAUUCUUAUACAAAAAAAAGUUUAGCAUAUAGAAUAGGGUAAAGAUUAAAUUUAUGAAAACUGUUCCAUUCAGGUCAUAGAGAUAAACAGAUAGUUGAAUUGGUAGAAAAAGUUGUGCCAGCUCUAGCGGUUAUACAUCAUCCAAUUAUCAAGUUGUUCAAGUUUGCUUCUUUAAAGCUGGUUUUUGGAAAAAUAUUCGGUAGAAUGACUAUUUUGUAAAGAAAGUUAAAAGAAUUAAUAUUUUCUGUAAAUGGAGAUUAGGGACCAGGAUUAGAUACCCUGUUACUCUUUGAGGAGGGGAGGUAGGCGGAUUAAUUUUCAAAAGUAAAAAACAUGGCGGUUUUCUAUCAUAUUAGAGAGACAUGUGUUGGAAACGAAUUUGCACGAAAGACUGUUCUUUUUUUAGAGACUUAAUUAAAUGGUAAAAUUUCAUUUUGCAUACCGCUGUCUGAAAGAUUUUUUUAAAGAAAACAUCUUGAAUCAUUAUUUAUAAUGAAAUAAGGCAAGUAAAGGUGUAGAUAAUGAAGAAGAAAACAUGUGUUUCAGUGAAAUUUAUGGAAGAAGUUUUAAGAUGAAAUUGAUCUAAAAAAGAAUUUAACAGUAAAGUUUGUUUUAUCAAACAUAUUUGAAGAGGAAAUGGAAAGUGUACAAAUUGCCCGUCACUCCGUAAGUGGAGAAGUCGUAACAUAGUUGGGCUACUGGAAAGUGGUCCAAGAAAUCU